Molecule: ribosomal RNA, 253 nt
Filed under: uncultured bacterium
Lineage: Bacteria
Description: partial 16S ribosomal RNA
Rfam family: Bacterial small subunit ribosomal RNA
Source: RNAcentral
UACGAAGGGGGCUAGCGUUGUUCGGAAUCACUGGGCGUAAAGGGCGCGUAGGCGGCUUUUCAAGUCGGGGGUGAAAGCCUGUGGCUCAACCACAGAAUUGCCUUCGAUACUGUUAGGCUUGAGACCGGAAGAGGUGAGUGGAACUGCGAGUGUAGAGGUGAAAUUCGUAGAUAUUCGCAAGAACACCAGUGGCGAAGGCGGCUCACUGGUCCGGUUCUGACGCUGAGGCACGAAAGCGUGGGGAGCAAACAGG